GUUUGGUCCACAGCAUAGAGCAUAGAUCAUUUGCCUAAAUCCCGUCAGAAUCACACCUCUCGCGAUAAGCAACUCACAUUCACGCCGUCCGUCCAACGAUGGUAGAAGGAACAGAAGGGAUUGGUUUGAAGGGAAGAUGUCUCAGAACGCAACAGCUAGGACCUCAUCACUCAUGGCCCUCCAUUCAGAUUCACAUAAGCAGAGCAUCCUGAGCAAAUUCGACAAGCUCAGGAAAAGAGACCUACUGUGCGACAUCACUCUUGUUGUGGAAGACGUGCACUUCAAGGCGCACAAAGCCCUGCUGGCAGCAAGCAGCGAGUACUUCUCCCUCAUGUUCAUGGCAGAAGAUCAGAUCAGUCAGUCGACCUACCGGCUGGAUGGCAUGGCAGCUGCGAUGUUUGCAGCAGUGUUGGAGUUCAUCUACAGCGCCCAGGUGUCUGUAGAGGAGAGCGCCACUGAGCAGCUUCUGGCCACGGCUCAUGUUAUGGAGGUAAACGAUCUUGUCAAGGUGCUCAAUGAACUCACACACUCUGCUGCAGUGGUUAGAGGCGAGGAGGUAAAGGCUGACAUAACCCAGGUGCCAGAUCAGCCGAAACGCAAAAGAGGACGGCCAAAGAAAAAAGAACUUGAAACAGAGUUGGAGGGGACAAGUGCACCAUGUGAUAGCUCAGAGGGGGGACUGGUUGGAGAUACGGACUGUGAUGAUGCAGUAACUGAGUCACAAGCUAAAGACAAUGCAGAUUACAAGCCAGAAGCCCACCACAGCCGGCAGAGCAAACGCAAAAUCAGGCCACCGGUGAAAUACAAGAGCUACAAGGUGGUCAGCGACACAGCAGUAAGCAAAGAGCCUGGGAAGAAAGGCAGGAAAAGGAAAUACCCCAACACUGAGGCCCACUGUGAGGACUGUGGCAAAGUAUUCAAAAAUCACCUCUUUUUAAAGAUUCACCAGAGGACUCAUACAGGAGAGAAGCCUUUUCAGUGCCUGGUUUGUGGAAAGGGUUUUACCCAGAAGCAUACUUUGCUGGUUCACCAGCGCAUGCACACUGGAGAAAAGCCAUUUGUCUGCAUCGUCUGCUCCAAAGCGCUCUCCACCAAACACUCCCUACAAGAGCACAUGAACCUCCAUAAAGAAGACAAAUCCUUCAGCUGUGAUAAAUGUGGAAAGACGUUCACUCAGAAGAGGCAGCUUCAUAGCCAUUACAGAGUUCAUACAGGCAAAUCAUUACCAGAAUGUGCUAAGUGUCAUCACAAGUUUAUGGACACAGCUCAGCUGAAAAAGCACCUGAGAACUCACACAGGUGAGAAGCCUUUUACUUGUGAGAUUUGUGGAAAGUGUUUUUCAGCCAAAAGCACUCUGCAGACUCAUAUCAGAAUUCACAGAGGGGAGAAGCCAUAUGACUGCAGCAUCUGCAACAAAUCCUUCUCGGACCCUAGCGCGAGACGGCGACACGUCGCCUCUCACUCAGGGAAGAAACCCUUCACAUGCUCCUCCUGUGGCCUGUCGUUUACCCGCCUGGACAAUCUGAACACACACACCAAAUCUCACAACAAGGAGAGAGCUGCGACAACAAAAGCCACAGCAGAUGCUCUCCACGCCGCAGAGCCACCGGAGGAGGAGGUACACAACAUCCUGCAGCUGCAGCCGUACCAGCUGCCCUCCACCUCUGAACAGGAGCUCCAGCUGGUGGUGACGGGAGACGUGGACAACAUUAACUUUGCACCGGGGCAGAACCAGGAGAUCAGCAUCAUCACCACUGAGGGGGAGGCAGCAGAAUCGUCCCACUCCAGACUCACCCUCCUCACCCAGUCGCCAGGAAACGUGCAGAAUGUGGCUUUGGUGACUCAGGGUGGCGUGGUGGACCAGAGCCCUCAGAUUCAGACUAUCAGUUUGCUGCAGGGCCAGAUGAGCCACCAGCCGGAGCAGAUGCACGUCCUCACUCUCAGUAAAGAGGCGAUGGAGCAGCUACAGGCCCCGCACACCCUUCAGAUAGCACAACGGGCGGUCCAGCAGCUGCAGGUGAUGCACCAGCCCAUCCAGCAGCUCGCUGUGGGACAGGUGGGCAGGGAGCACACACACAGCCAGGCAAUUCACAUCAGCAGCCAGAGCAGCCAGCCCAUCUCCAUCAGCCAGACCAGCGAGCAGAUCUCCAGCCACCACAUCCAGGGACAGACGUUCCAGAUCCAGGCAGGGACCGUCUCCUACCUGUACACCACCGGGCUGCCGCAGGAGAGCUGAGGGUGGGUCGGGGGACUGAAGCUACCACAUCCACGCUGAUAAUGCUGCUAUGUCACUGUUCCUGUUUGGGCAGCAGUGAGGUGUAGAUGUGACUUGCUGUACCUUCAUGCGGAGCAGCUUCCUGGCGCUGCUGCUCUCGGCCUGGCAGCAGGUCAACACCUUCCUGGCGGCCUCCAGCUCCUCCUGCAGGAAAACCACCUCCUCCUCUGAUGUCAUCUUCACUCGGAGGGCCGCGCUGCGACAGCUGACCUCCCUCUGGGCACAAUGGAAAAUGUUAUAAUAACCAUUACCACAAUCAAUAUGUUUCAGCAAUGUUUUAUGAUGACUGAUGAGUCAAAAGUAUAAUUUAGUACACAAAUACACGAAUCAGUAAGUUGAAUAAUGAAAUGUAAAAAAAGAUCUAUAAGCAACAAGCUUAAAAUGUGAUUUACAUAAUUGGCUAAAGUGUUAUGACUGACUUCCUAACUGAUUGCAAAAGUUAAGGGGGAAACAUAAAGCUUGUUUUAAUCAAUCAGAAUAUCUAACUAUUACUUAUAUGUACGUAUAUGUAUUCAAUUAUGCUUUGGACAAAUCAGAUAUUACAAAACAAAACGGGUCAAAACUAACUCGAUACGAACGUGUAGUGAAAAUAAAGGACACAACACAGACA
This is an RNA transcript of Sander lucioperca (pikeperch), 2885 nucleotides long. It is a transcript of the gene named zinc finger and BTB domain containing 24, with no coding region annotated. NCBI's taxonomy places the organism in Eukaryota, Metazoa, Chordata, Actinopteri, Perciformes, Percidae. The transcript is spliced from 8 exons. The record is from RefSeq and is a predicted model, not a curated record.